UCAAAUCUGUUUUGUUUUGCUGUUGUUUUGUGUUAGGGGGGAAUCGCGUAUUGGCAUCUGCCAGUGCUAGGUUUACCAUAGGUGGUAAAAACUAGUUUUACAGCAAGGCUGAAUAGCAUAAAUAACGUAACACAAAGAGAGUAUAGGCUACUCACAGCAUAUCAUUCUAUGUUAUAAAUUUUCUGGCUGACAAUUACAUUUUUUGAGCGCAGUGGGCAAAUAGAAAAUAACCCUUCGUCUAGGCUAUAUGUUUUGGGACAUGCAUUUACAACAGUCAAAUCUGACCUCCAAAAAAGUGUGAAAUAGUUAAGACUGUUUUACACUUGAGAACAACUAACGAAAUAGGGCAUUGAUUGAAGAUGCAGAUUGACUUGUUACACCUUAGACUUCGCGUAGGAAGGGGAGGGGCGCACAGCAAGUUCACUGUGACUGCAACAGUGCAGUGUACUCCAUCCACUUACUUACCAAUUGCCAAGAUUCAAGCCGUUAUUACUAUGUAAAUACAACUGCACUGACGGCUGUAUAGCCUACGACUUCACAUCGGCAGUUGGCAAUUUCACUCAAAGUGCUCCGUUGCCUGUUUUCAACCAGAUAACCACAGUAAAUUACCAAUGUUGUUAUUUUUUUAUAGCCUAUAUGGCAAGCUAUACACGAAAAGAAAAAGUUAACUUAUAGCCUGCUAAAUAAGCAAAUGGUAACUUGAGUUGUAUUUAGAUUUGUUGAGCAGUUUACGUAGUUUGACGAGCUAGAGAGCCUACGCGCCUUACCACCCGCACAGAGGAGGUUUAGAGAUUUUUCACUACCGCUGCUCCACGUUCUGUCCAAAUUCUUGGGCUCACUUCGGCGUCCUAGUGAACGGAUUAACUUGGAACACCAGACGGACAGAUUCUUACUUAUUGGACCUUGAUCGCUUGACGUGGACAGGAACAGUGUGGCUGGAGGACACUGAUGAUGGGAGCCACCAUUUUGUAAAAACUGGGGUGAGGGAGGUGACACUGCACCCCAGGACAUAACAGGAAGGACCCCAGAGGAUUUUUUUUAAAGAAUUAAAAACACAAACCUGA
Molecule: long non-coding RNA, 1064 nt
Organism: Osmerus eperlanus (European smelt)
Lineage: Eukaryota; Metazoa; Chordata; Actinopteri; Osmeriformes; Osmeridae
Exons: 2
Source: RefSeq, a predicted model, not a curated record